AGUGAACGCUGGCGGUAGGCCUAACACAUGCAAGUCGAACGGCAGCACAGUAAGAGCUUGCUCUUACGGGUGGCGAGUGGCGGACGGGUGAGGAAUACAUCGGAAUCUACUUUUUCGUGGGGGAUAACGUAGGGAAACUUACGCUAAUACCGCAUACGACCUACGGGUGAAAGCAGGGGAUCUUCCGACCUUGCGCGAUUGAAUGAGCCGAUGUCGGAUUAGCUAGUUGGCGGGGUAAAGGCCCACCAAGGCGACGAUCCGUAGCUGGUCUGAGAGGAUGAUCAGCCACACUGGAACUGAGACACGGUCCAGACUCCUACGGGAGGCAGCAGUGGGGAAUAUUGGACAAUGGGCGCAAGCCUGAUCCAGCCAUACCGCGUAGGUGAAGAAGGCCUUCGGGUUGUAAAGCCCUUUUGUUGGGAAAGAAAAGCAGCAGGUUAAUACCCCGCUGUUCUGACGGUACCCAAAGAAUAAGCACCGGCUAACUUCGUG
This 492-nucleotide ribosomal RNA is filed under the name uncultured bacterium. RNAcentral's name for it is "partial 16S ribosomal RNA". It matches the Rfam family "Bacterial small subunit ribosomal RNA", at positions 29 to 507 of the family's 1533-position model. The record is from RNAcentral.